ACUCUUUUAGUUUAUUAAAAAUAUGACUUUGAAGCAGUUAAGAAUCUUAGAGUA
Molecule: transfer RNA, 54 nt
Filed under: Strongyloides stercoralis
Lineage: Eukaryota; Metazoa; Nematoda; Chromadorea; Rhabditida; Strongyloididae
Description: tRNA-Phe
Source: RNAcentral